This 505-nucleotide ribosomal RNA is filed under the name uncultured Gammaproteobacteria bacterium. Its description in RNAcentral is "bacterial SSU rRNA". It matches the Rfam family "Bacterial small subunit ribosomal RNA", at positions 30 to 509 of the family's 1533-position model. Lineage: Bacteria; Pseudomonadati; Pseudomonadota; Gammaproteobacteria. The record is from RNAcentral.
AUUGAACGCUGGCGGCAUGCCUAACACAUGCAAGUCGAACGGUAACAGGUCAAGUGAUCCCUUCGGGGUGAGUGAGAUGCUGACGAGUGGCGGACGGGUGAGUAAUGCGUAGGAAUCUACCUUCAAGUGGGGGAUAGCCCGGAGAAAUCCGGAUUAAUACCGCAUGUUCUCUACGGAGAAAAGCGGGCCUCUGUUUCAAGCUCGCGCUUGAAGAUGAGCCUACGUCGGAUUAGCUAGUUGGUAGGGUAAAGGCCUACCAAGGCGACGAUCCGUAGCUGGUUUGAGAGGAUGAUCAGCCACACUGGGACUGAGACACGGCCCAGACUCCUACGGGAGGCAGCAGUGGGGAAUAUUGGACAAUGGGCGCAAGCCUGAUCCAGCAAUGCCGCGUGUGUGAAGAAGGCCUGCGGGUUGUAAAGCACUUUUAUCGGGAAAGAAAAGCUUAGGGCUAAUACCUCUAAGCCUUGACGGUACCCGAUGAAUAAGCACCGGCUAACUCCGUGCC